RNAcentral lists this transfer RNA (66 nucleotides) under Ulva fasciata. RNAcentral describes it as "tRNA-Ile". Lineage: Eukaryota; Viridiplantae; Chlorophyta; Ulvophyceae; Ulvales; Ulvaceae. The record is from RNAcentral.
ACUUUUGUAAAAUGGAUUUAUUUAUUUAUUUUAAGUUGGUUGUGGGUUCAAAUCCUGCCAAAAGCU